AAACCAGCACCUCAAGUGGUCAGGAUGAUUAUUGGGCCUAAAGCAUCCGUAGCCUGCUUUGUCAGUUUUCGGUUAAAUCCAUACGCUCAACGUAUGGGCUGCCGGAAAUACUACAAAGCUAGGGAGUGGGAGAGGUAGACGGUACUCGGGAGGAAGGGGUAAAAUCCUUUGAUCUCUCGAUGACCACCUGUGGCGAAGGCGGUCUACCAGAACACGUCCGACGGUGAGGGAUGAAAGCUGGGGGAGCAAACCGGAUUAGAUACCCGAGUAGUCC
RNAcentral lists this ribosomal RNA (274 nucleotides) under uncultured bacterium. RNAcentral describes it as "partial 16S ribosomal RNA". It matches the Rfam family "Archaeal small subunit ribosomal RNA", at positions 473 to 747 of the family's 1478-position model. The record is from RNAcentral.